This is a long non-coding RNA of Penaeus vannamei (Pacific white shrimp), 498 nucleotides long. RefSeq lists it as uncharacterized. The record is from RefSeq and is a predicted model, not a curated record. NCBI's taxonomy places the organism in Eukaryota, Metazoa, Arthropoda, Malacostraca, Decapoda, Penaeidae.
AUAAAAGCCCUUCUGGGUCGGCGUCUGGCACUCGCCUUCUCACGCCGACUGCAACAUGAUCAAGACAGUAAUUGUGCUGGUUUGCGCUGCCCUUCUUUUGGCAUUUGCGGGAGCCAAUCCUGACCCUGAACCUGGUUUUGGUGGACAUGGAUUCGGACACGGUGGGUUCGGCCAUGGAGGAUUCGGACACGGCGGAUUCGGAGGCUUCGGACGUGGCGGAUUCGGAGGAUUCGGACACGGCGGAUAUGGUCGCUGAAGCAGUGCCUUAACUAUGAGCAUGGAGUUUGGAAGAUGAGAAGGAAUAAAGAUGCAACAAAACCACAUUCUAUUCCUUCGAAGUUGGAAAAUGUUUACGGAUAAAAAAGCUUUUCCGUGCAAAUUCAUGAGAUCUUGUAGUUAUCUUUCCGUUAAUGUUAUCCAUAUACUGUGCACCGGUCUCUGGAACAAAUAUUGAAAAUCAAGGUAAUGCGAAAAUAAAUAAAAACACAUAACAACCUA